UGGGGAAUAUUGCACAAUGGGCGCAAGCCUGAUGCAGCCAUGCCGCGUGUAUGAAGAAGGCCUUCGGGUUGUAAAGUACUUUCAGCGGGGAGGAAGGGAGUAAAGUUAAUACCUUUGCUCAUUGACGUUACCCGCAGAAGAAGCACCGGCUAACUCCGUGCCAGCAGCCGCGGUAAUACGGAGGGUGCAAGCGUUAAUCGGAAUUACUGGGCGUAAAGCGCACGCAGGCGGUUUGUUAAGUCAGAUGUGAAAUCCCCGGGCUCAACCUGGGAACUGCAUCUGAUACUGGCAAGCUUGAGUCUCGUAGAGGGUGGUAGAAUUCCAGGUGUAGCGGUGAAAUGCGUAGAGGUCGGGAGGAAUACCGGUGGCGAAGGCGGCCCCCUGGACGAAGACUAACGCUCAGGUGCGAAAGCGUGGGGAGCAAACAGG
RNAcentral lists this ribosomal RNA (429 nucleotides) under Chloroflexota bacterium. RNAcentral describes it as "Chloroflexi bacterium partial 16S ribosomal RNA". It matches the Rfam family "Bacterial small subunit ribosomal RNA", at positions 355 to 776 of the family's 1533-position model. Lineage: Bacteria; Bacillati; Chloroflexota. The record is from RNAcentral.